RNAcentral lists this ribosomal RNA (449 nucleotides) under uncultured bacterium. RNAcentral describes it as "partial 16S ribosomal RNA". It matches the Rfam family "Bacterial small subunit ribosomal RNA", at positions 29 to 523 of the family's 1533-position model. The record is from RNAcentral.
AACGAACGCUGGCGGCAGGCUUAACACAUGCAAGUCGAACGCAUCCUUCGGGGUGAGUGGCAGACGGGUGAGUAACGCGUGGGAACGUGCCCUUCAGUUCGGGUUAACCCAGGGAAACUUGGGCUAAUACCGGAUACGUGCGAGAGCAGAAAGAUUUAUCGCUGAAGGAUAGGCCCGCGUCUGAUUAGCUAGGUGGUGGGGUAAUGGCCCACCAAGGCGACGAUAAGUAGCUGGUCUGAGAGGAUGAUCCGCGACAUUGGGACUGAGACACGGAACAAACGCGUUGGGGAGGGAGCAGGGGAGAGAAUUGGGGAAUGGGCGCAAGCCUGAUCCAGCCAUGCCGCGUGAGUGAUGAAUGCGUUAGAGUUGUAAAGCACUUUCGUCCGCGACGAUAAUGACGGUACCGGAAGAAGAAGACCCGGCUAACUUCGUGCCAGCCGCCGCGGUAA